This 74-nucleotide transfer RNA is filed under the name Pirellulales bacterium. RNAcentral describes it as "tRNA-His". It matches the Rfam family "tRNA". Rfam says of the family: Transfer RNA (tRNA) molecules are approximately 80 nucleotides in length. Their secondary structure includes four short double-helical elements and three loops (D, anti-codon, and T loops). The record is from RNAcentral. Lineage: Bacteria; Pseudomonadati; Planctomycetota; Planctomycetia; Pirellulales.
GUGGCUGUAGCUCAGUUGGUUAGAGCGCUGGAUUGUGGUUCCAGAAGUCGGGGGUUCGAGUCCCCUCUGCCACC